RNAcentral lists this ribosomal RNA (465 nucleotides) under uncultured bacterium. Its description in RNAcentral is "partial 16S ribosomal RNA". It matches the Rfam family "Bacterial small subunit ribosomal RNA", at positions 338 to 795 of the family's 1533-position model. The record is from RNAcentral.
CCUACGGGAGGCUGCAGUGGGGAAUAUUGCGCAAUGGGCGAAAGCCUGACGCAGCGACGCCGCGUGAGGGAUGAAGGUCUUCGGAUCGUAAACCUCUGUCAGCAGGGAAGAACGGUCACUGUGCUAAUCAACAGUGAAUUGACGGUACCUGCAAAGGAAGCACCGGCUAACUCCGUGCCAGCAGCCGCGGUAAUACGGAGGGUGCGAGCGUUAAUCGGAAUUACUGGGCGUAAGGCGCUCGUAGGCGGUAUGUCAAGUCAAGGGUGAAAUCCCCGCGCUCAACGUGGGAACUGCCUUUGAAACUGGCAAGCUGGAGUGUGUGAGAGGAGAGUAGAAUUCCAGGUGUAGGGGUGAAAUCCGUAGAUAUCUGGAGGAACAUCAGUGGCAAAGGCGACUAUCUGGCACAUAACUGACGCUGAGGAGCGAAAGCGUGGGUAGCAAACAGGAUUAGAUACCCCUGUAGUC